UUCCCUGUGACACCAGGAGGCUGCUCUAGGCUGGAGGGGGACCUGUUUAAUAGGUCCAUGAGGGGAACGAUAUUCCCUGUGACAACGGGAGGCGGGUCUAGGUAGCACGGCCACGGUGACUUGUGACUUCAAUUCAUUAGAAAACUGUUCAUUUUUCACAUACCAACAUGAGCGGCUUCAAGCAUCCCAACGCUACCACCACCCCGCAUGUUGUGAAGGAAGAGGCCAUGGCCGAAGGGAAAUGGGUCAAACUUGACAAGACCACAUACAUGGACCCCGCUGGAAACACAAGAACCUGGGAAAGUGUCAAAAGGACAACCAGACCACUCAACACUGAGGCGGAUGGCGUUGGGAUAAUUGCAAUUCUGAAAAGGACCCUCCACAAAGACUGCCUUGUCAUGGUAAAGCAGUUUCGCCCACCACUGGGAUGCUGUUCCCUGGAAUUCCCCGCAGGGCUGAUCGACCAGGGGGAGGGGGCGAAGGAGGCGGCGGUGCGGGAGCUGAAGGAGGAGACGGGUUACAUGGGGGAGGUGGUGGGAGUCACACCAGUGACCUGUCUGGAUCCCGGCUUGUCCAACUGCACCACCAACAUCGUCACGGUGAUAAUCAACGGAGACGACGGCGAGAACAUCCACCCCAAACAGCAGCUGGGUGAUGGAGGUAAUGAAAUAAAACGCAUUCAGUUUGAAAAUGAUUGCCUUAAUAAUGAAAUUUGCAUGGCAACUUUUUUUAUACCGUGUUAAAUCAUCACAGAAAACGUCUUUCCCUCCAGAAUUCGUCGAAGUCAUCCUCGUGCCUCUGGCUGAGUUCCAGACCAAAAUAGAUGAGAUGCUGAAGAAGGAGAAGAUCGUGGUGGAUACUAAGGUUUACCUCUACGCCAUGGGGAUGGUGCAGGCCUUCUUCAAGCCCAACGAGCUGCCGGUACUCAAGCAGAGACGAGGCUAUAGGAAGAACGAGAGAGAGAUUGUUGCAGCCUUUCGUGGAUACGCAAUCUAUGGAUCACUCGGUCAACAUGGAGCACUAGUCGAUUAGGUAACUCGUUUGAAGUGCUCAGGUUGUAGGUUUUUAAAACUGUUAGAUUGUUCAUCGGUUGUGGUUGAUAUAGUCUCUAAUAUUAAAGUAUUGCUGUGCACCUUAUGUCAUUAAUAAUGUCCCCUGCCGUUUUUAGAACCCGAACUGCUACCCACCCUUUACAUAUAUGUUGUAACAACUGUAUAAUUACAUACGGAAAUGACUCUUCCAACAUUCCUAACUUUCUAAUGUUUUGCCAUUUAAGCUAUUCUUUAAUUCGCUGUAAGUUUGCUAUAUGGAAAUAACAGUGUGUGCCUUAAUUGAUGUGGUUUUGUAGCCCAAUCCAAUUUUGCACUUGGAGAAUUUUAAAUGUAGGAAAUAUGGUGUUAUAUUGAUAAAAUUGAUAUACCUGAAUUGCAUUGAAAUAAAAACAUACUACCAACUGCUCAA
Molecule: RNA transcript, 1461 nt
Organism: Gadus macrocephalus (Pacific cod)
Lineage: Eukaryota; Metazoa; Chordata; Actinopteri; Gadiformes; Gadidae
Gene: nudt5
Gene name: nudix (nucleoside diphosphate linked moiety X)-type motif 5
Exons: 10
Source: RefSeq, a predicted model, not a curated record